AUUUGCGUAUACGACUUGCAUGGAAUAGUAUUGAAGCAAUUAAUAGGGAGAGGAAACUUUUUCUGGUUUCACUAUACUUUCUCAUAUGGGGUGAAGCUGCUAAUGUCCGUUUUCUCCCUGAAUGCAUUUGCUAUAUAUUUCACCGUAUGGCAAAGGAGUUGGAUGCAAUACUGGAUCAUGGAGAAGCUUAUCAUGCUGCAAGUUGCAAAAUUGAUAAUGGUCCCGUCUCCUUCCUUGUGAAAAUUAUUUCUCCCAUAUAUGAUGCGAUGGCAGCGGAAGCGGCAAGGAACAAUAAUGGAAAAGCUGCACAUUCAUCAUGGAGGAAUUAUGACGACUUCAAUGAAUACUUUUGGUCACCUGCUUGCUUUGAUUUGAACUGGCCUAUGAGUACAGAGUCAUCGUUUUUUCAUAAAAAGAAAAGGGCCGGUAAAAGCACUUUUGUUGAGCAUCGUACAUUUUUCCACUUAUAUCGAAGUUUCCACCGACUCUGGAUCUUUUUGGCUUUGAUGUUCCAGGCUUUGACUAUCAUAGCCUUCCACCAUGGGAAUAUCAAUUUGGAUACCUUUAAAGUUGUACUUAGCACUGGGCCUUCAUUUGCUAUCAUGAACUUCAUAGAGAGCAGUUUAGACGUCCUGCUUAUGUUUGGGGCUUACACUACAGCAAGAGGCAUGGCUAUGUCAAGGCUUGUUAUUAGGUUUUUCUGGUGGGGCUUGAGCUCAGUGUUUGUAACAUAUGUCUACAUUAAGGUUCUGGAGGAGAGACAUCAACAAGGCUCAAAUUCGUCCUAUUUUCGGAUAUAUAUACUUGUGUUGGGUGUUUAUGCAGCUCUACGCCUAUUUCUUGCACUGUUACUUAAAUUUCCAGCCUGCCAUACGUUGUCAGAUAUUUCUGACCAAUCUUUCUUUCAAUUUUUCAAAUGGAUUUAUCAGGAACGAUAUUUUGUUGGCCGUGGUCUCUUUGAAAAAAUAAGUGAUUAUUGCAGGUAUGUCCUCUUUUGGUUGGUGAUUCUUGCCUGCAAAUUCACAUUUGCUUACUUUCUCCAGAUUAGACCACUUGUUCAACCCACUCAAACCAUCGUAAAGCUUCGAACUGUGGACUACUCAUGGCAUGAUUUGAUUUCAAAGAAUAAUAAUCAUGCCUUAACUGUUGCUAGCUUAUGGGCUCCUGUUGUUGCUAUUUAUCUCAUGGACAUUCAUAUAUGGUACACUGUCUUAUCAGCAAUUGUGGGUGGCAUAAUGGGUGCACGAGCUCGUUUAGGCGAGAUACGCUCACUUGAAAUGGUUCAUAAACGUUUUGAGAGCUUCCCAGAGGCAUUUGUCAAGAAUCUUGUCUCUCCUCAAGCAAAAAGGAUGCCAUUCAACAGACAAGCAUCUCAGGAAUCUCAAGAUACGAACAAAGAUUAUGCAGCAAUGUUUGCUCCUUUCUGGAAUGAGAUAAUCAAAAGCUUGCGUGAGGAAGAUUAUAUUAGUAAUAGGGAGAUGGACUUGCUUUCUAGUCCUAGCAAUACAGGAAGUCUAAGAUUAGUUCAAUGGCCUUUGUUUCUUCUGAGUAGUAAGAUCUUGUUAGCGGUUGAUCUGGCUUUGGACUGCAAAGAUACUCAGGAAGAUCUUUGGAACAGAAUAUGUAGGGAUGAGUACAUGGCAUAUGCAGUUCAGGAGUGCUACUAUAGUGUUGAAAAAAUUUUGCACUCUCUAGUUGAUGGUGAAGGGAGACUUUGGGUUGAAAGGAUCUUUCGUGAAAUCAACAACAGUAUAUCGGAGGACUCACUUCUUGUAACUUUAUCGCUUAAGAAGCUCCCUCUUGUGGUGCAAAAAUUUACUGCACUAACUGGACUCCUGACACGGGACCGUCACCAACCUGAACUGGCCAAAGGUGCUGCAAAUGCUUUGUAUCAGCUUUAUGAGGUUGUAACACAUGAUCUGCUGUCAUCUGAUUUAAGAGAGCAGCUUGAUACAUGGAACAUUUUAGCUAGAGCAAGAAAUGAAGGGCGCCUGUUUUCUACUAUAGAAUGGCCAAGGGAUCCAGAAAUUAAAGAGCAGGUGAAGCGGUUGCACCUUCUUCUUACUGUAAAGGACACUGCUGCCAAUGUUCCAAAGAAUCUUGAAGCCAGAAGAAGAUUACAGUUUUUCUCAAAUUCACUAUUUAUGGACAUGCCUUCAGCAAAACCUGUUUCUGAAAUUAUACCUUUUUGUGUCUUCACUCCAUACUACAGCGAGACUGUACUUUAUAGUUACUCUGAGUUACGAGAUGAAAAUGAGGAUGGGAUAUCAAUCCUUUUCUAUCUUCAGAAAAUUUUCCCAGAUGAAUGGGAGAAUUUUCUGGAACGGAUUGGUAGAGGAGAGUCUUCUGAGGACGUUGAUUUUCAAAAAAACUCUAGUGAUACUUUGGAGCUUCGUUUUUGGGCAUCCUAUCGAGGGCAGACUCUUGCUCGGACUGUACGAGGAAUGAUGUAUUAUAGAAGGGCUUUAAUGUUGCAGAGUUAUUUGGAAAGGAGAUCAUUAGGAGUGGAUGAUCAUUCUCAAACAGGCUUCUUUGCCACUGAAGGUUUUGAAUUAUCACGUGAAUCAAGGGCACAAGCUGACUUAAAAUUCACUUACGUGGUUUCUUGCCAAAUUUAUGGGCAACAAAAGCAACGGAAGGACAAAGAGGCUGCAGAUAUUGCUCUUUUGUUGCAGAGGUAAAAAUUUUUCUUAUGAUUCUUUGCUUUCUAGAAUUGAUUGUUCUGGGUUACUGCUUCCUUACUGACUGUCGUGUGUUUUUAUAUGGAAAUGGAAUGGUGUCUUUAUUAAAACAAUUAUUUCAAACAUUUUCACCAUUUCAUGUGGGUGCAAGGAAGGCUGUGAGGUGCAUCCUUUUGCAUGUCUCAAUUGUCAAUAAAAUGUGUUGCUGGCAUGAGCAGGAAUUUAGAGUAUUUAGUUAUGAUGAGCUGAAGAGGUAUUUCUGAAUUUCUAAGCCAUGCUAUGAAUGGAGUUGCUUAUUCUUCAUGCUUGGAUGGCCCCCUAUGCUCUUCAACGCUGUCUAACCAGUCAUGAGGACUGGGAAGAGAGAAGCAAUUCUUUGAUACAUGAGUCCUCACUCCUUAAUAGCCAUCUGGUUUUGUCCAGGGAAUGAGGCGCUUCGAGUUGCAUUCAUACAUGUGGAGGAAAGUGCCACUGCUGAUGGAAUGGCUUCCAAGGACUUUUACUCGAAGCUUGUUAAAGCUGAUGUACAUGGAAAAGAUCAGGAAAUAUAUUCAAUUAAACUACCUGGAGAUCCAAAGCUUGGAGAAGGGAAGCCUGAGAACCAAAACCAUUCUAUAGUUUUUACUCGUGGGGAAGCUAUUCAAACUAUUGACAUGAAUCAGGACAACUACCUUGAGGAGGCAAUGAAAAUGAGAAAUCUUCUUCAGGAAUUUCAAGCCAAAAAACAUGGCAUUCGACCUCCCACCAUUCUCGGUGUAAGAGAACAUGUUUUUACAGGAAGUGUCUCUUCGUUGGCCUGGUUUAUGUCCAAUCAAGAGACUAGCUUUGUAACCUUGGCUCAACGUGUGUUGGCAAACCCUCUCAAAGUCCGCAUGCACUAUGGCCAUCCUGAUGUUUUUGAUCGGAUGUUUCAUAUAACUCGAGGUGGCAUUAGCAAGGCGUCACGAGUAAUUAAUAUCAGUGAAGAUAUAUUUGCUGGGUUUAACUCCACAUUAAGGCAAGGGAAUAUUACUCACCAUGAAUACAUUCAGGUUGGAAAGGGCAGAGAUGUUGGAUUGAACCAGAUUGCCCUUUUCGAAGGGAAAGUCGCUGGAGGAAAUGGAGAGCAAGUCCUAAGCAGGGAUGUGUAUAGGCUUGGACAACUAUUUGAUUUCUUCAGAAUGCUCUCUUUCUACUUCACAACUGUUGGAUAUUAUGUUUGCACAAUGAUGACAGUUCUGACGGUAUACAUAUUCCUGUAUGGGAGGGUUUACCUGGCUUUCUCUGGACUUGAUAGUGCAAUUUCAAAGGAAGAAAAGCUGCUAGGUAACACUGCUUUUGAGGCUGUUUUGAACGCGCAAUUCUUGGUACAGAUUGGAGUUUUCACAGCUGUCCCCAUGAUAAUGGGUUUUAUACUUGAACUGGGAUUGCUGAAGGCUGUUUUUAGCUUUAUUACAAUGCAACUUCAGUUGUGUUCAGUCUUCUUCACAUUUUCUUUGGGAACUAGAACUCAUUAUUUUGGACGUACUAUCCUCCAUGGAGGAGCAAAGUAUAGAGCAACUGGUAGAGGCUUUGUAGUCCGUCAUAUCAAAUUUGCUGAAAAUUACAGGCUUUACUCAAGAAGUCAUUUUGUUAAAGCGCUUGAAGUGGCACUGCUUCUCAUAGUUUACAUUGCAUAUGGGUACACAGAAGGGGGUGCCACAUCCUUUGUUUUGUUGACUCUUAGCAGUUGGUUUCUUGUCAUCUCAUGGCUCUUUGCUCCUUACAUAUUCAAUCCCUCAGGUUUUGAAUGGCAAAAGACGGUUGAAGAUUUUGAUGAUUGGACCAGCUGGCUUUUGUAUAAAGGUGGUGUAGGGGUGAAAGGAGAUGAUAGCUGGGAAUCAUGGUGGAACGAAGAGCAGAUGCACAUCCAAACAUUGAGAGGUCGUAUAUUAGAAACAAUAUUGAGCUUGCGGUUCUUCAUGUUUCAAUAUGGCAUUGUAUACAAACUCCAUCUAACAGGAAAGGACACAUCUCUUACGAUUUAUGGCUUCUCCUGGAUCGUAUUGAUUUUCAUCUUCAUGAUAUUUAAGAUCUUUACCUAUAGCCCUAAAAAAUCCAACAACAUAUUUGAGAAAUGCAUCAACUUCAAGCUAUUCAUGCGAUUCAUGCAAGGGGUUACAUCGUUAGGACUUGUUGCGGCCCUUUGUCUUGUUAUUGCCUUCACAAAUCUAACAAUCGCUGACCUUUUUGCAAGUAUACUGGCAUUUAUUCCUACUGGAUGGGCAAUCUUAUGUGUAAGUUGGCAUGGUUCUUUCCAAUUUUAGAUACUGUAAUGUGCAAAAAGUAAAUUGCACAUGUUGAAUUCUUUUACUUAAUUUGAUGAAAAUGAAGGUUUUUUUAUUCAGUAGUUUUAUUAAGCAACACGUUCUUACCUGUUUAAGAGUGAGCUGGAGAGAACAUGUAUCCUUAUGCCUCCAAUCCUCUGAUCCAUGUGCUGGCUUUUGCGGCUGAAUCAUUGGCUAUUUCCCACUUUCUUACUUUCAUAUUAUUUCGGGGUUUGUGGGUGGGAAAGAAUUUAAUUUAAAUGGACACAUCCUCUUAUACGAGGAGAAAAAAUGGAGAAAAAGGCAGGGUGAUUAAAAAAAAAGGUUGGAUGAUUUCAUUGAGAAGCCUCCUUAGUUUACUAAUAUAGGAAGAGCCCUUUUAAAUUAACACUUUGGCUCCUAUGAGAAGUGUGGACAUGCUGCACACAGAAGACCUACUCUCUGAUUGCAUUUGGAUAAGAACCUACUUUACGGGCCUAGGUGCUGCUUUUUAUCCAGUUGUGACCUGCAUAUGUUUCAAUUAUUAUAUUCUGACUAGCAUAUAUGAUUUUUGAUUCUGCUGAAACAGUUGGCUGUCACUUGGAAAAGGAUUGUUUGGAGUCUAGGCUUGUGGGAUUCAGUACGGGAAUUUGCUAGAAUGUAUGAUGCUGGGAUGGGUAUGAUUAUUUUUGCUCCAAUUUCAUUCUUAUCAUGGUUUCCAUUCGUCUCUACGUUCCAGUCUCGCCUUCUCUUUAACCAAGCAUUUAGCCGUGGACUUGAGAUCUCUCUCAUCCUUGCUGGAAACAAGGCAAAUGUUGAUGUCUGAUUCAAUACCUUCCUACUUGGCUGGUCUACCUUUAAGGUUUACAGAUUUUAGAUGAAAUAGCAUUUGUAUGGUACUGAUCAUGUAUUCCUUCUCAAUAGAAUUCCAGGUAGCUGUGUAUCAUAUUUGUAAAAAUGUAGCUUUACGAGAAAACUAUUACUUUCUUCCCUUUUUUAAGGCUUGAAGCCUUGAAGGUGUGACAUGUAUUCGAGUCGAGUGAACGUUUGCGAUUAGAGUGGUGUUUUUAUUUGAUCGCUUUAUUUUCAUGGGUUUCAAAGAAUGUUUCAAUCUUCCUUCAAUUUCUAUUGGCUGGCAUAUGUGCCACGCGCCACCGUCUAAUUAUUCAUCCAUGUACUUGCUGGUGGUCAUGGGCGGAUUCAUUUCAAUGAAUGGCCUCUCAUUUAUUUUGAAUUUACUCUCUCUAUGUACUUUUAUAAAUUGGUCUCUUAAAUUUAAGCACUAAACUCUUUUUUUGUUCCCUCAUAUAACAGGGCAGUUUAAUAAAAAAAAUAAACGAAUUGUAAUUUUAUUAUUCUACAAUAUGGCUGAUUAUAUGUGACUAAAUUAAAAAAAAAAAAAAAAAA
This 6352-nucleotide unclassified non-coding RNA is filed under the name Hevea brasiliensis (rubber tree). Lineage: Eukaryota; Viridiplantae; Streptophyta; Magnoliopsida; Malpighiales; Euphorbiaceae. The record is from RNAcentral.